UUAAUUGAAGAGUUUGAUCAUGGCUCAGAUUGAACGCUGGCGGCAGGCCUAACACAUGCAAGUCGAGCGGUAACAGAAAUCAGCUUGCUGAUUUGCUGACGAGCGGCGGACGGGUGAGUAAUGUCUGGGAAACUGCCUGAUGGAGGGGGAUAACUACUGGAAACGGUAGCU
Molecule: ribosomal RNA, 171 nt
Filed under: Cronobacter dublinensis
Lineage: Bacteria; Pseudomonadati; Pseudomonadota; Gammaproteobacteria; Enterobacterales; Enterobacteriaceae
Description: partial 16S ribosomal RNA
Rfam family: Bacterial small subunit ribosomal RNA
Source: RNAcentral